RNAcentral lists this long non-coding RNA (647 nucleotides) under Gallus gallus (chicken). Lineage: Eukaryota; Metazoa; Chordata; Aves; Galliformes; Phasianidae. The record is from RNAcentral.
GCAGGAUGUAGGUAGCCCAAGGGCUCUAUUGCCAGAAAAAUCAGGCUGUAUUGCAAUUCUAAUAGUCCAUAGCAGAGUGGUAUCAGAAAUAGGAUAUCACAGGAGUAAUGGUCAAUGGUUGGACAGUCUGGGUACGAGGCAGGAAUGUUCUGUUUGCUCCUUUCUCUGUGGUGCCGUAGUUCUGGAGUCAACAAACUCAAGACUUGGGCACUUUGGUGUAGUCUUCACUGUGUAUGUUCUUGCAGAGUGAAAUGGACAGUAUCAUCCCCAGCAGCUCUACAACAGCAACGCCUGUGCAGACCCCAAGAAUGAUACCAAGGUUGUCCUUCAACCAAUCCUGUACCCCAUCCACACAACCCUGCCUGUGCACAGGCCAGUUGGCAUGCGUUGCAGUUUCAUUCACCACGACAUCCAGUGUACAGAAGCCUGUAUUUUCCUCAGCAUCCUUGGAACUAUUGGAGCAGGAGCAGGGAUACGCAGUCAUGCUUUUGUUGAUAAGAAUGGGAUUUUUCUCCCACUCCUCUGCUCCAUUCCAGCCACAGCAGGUAAGCUGUUUCUGCACAUAGUCCCACGCAUCUUGCAAGUUCUUAUCUUCACCAUUCACAGGGUCAUAAUCUCCAAUCAGUUUUUCAACUAUGCGUGACAAC